CCUACGGGUGGCAGCAGUGGGGAAUAUUGCACAAUGGAGGAAACCCUGAUGCAGCGACGCCGCGUGAGUGAAGAAGUAUUUCGGUAUGUAAAGCUCUAUCAGCGGGGAAGAAAAUGACGGUACCUGCUUAAGAAGCCCCGGCUAACUACGUGCCAGCAGCCGCGGUAAUACGUAGGGGUCAAGCGUUAUCCGGAUUUACUGGGUGUAAAGGGAGCGUAGACGGCAGCACAAGUCUGGAGUGAAAUGCCGGGGCUUAACCCCGGAACUGCUUUGGAAACUGUGCAGCUAGAGUGCAGGAGAGGUAAGCGGAAUUCCUAGUGUAGCGGUGAAAUGCGUAGAUAUUAGGAGGAACACCAGUGGCGAAGGCGGAUUACUGGACUGUAACUGACGUUGAGGCUCGAAAGCGUGGGGAGCAAACAGGAUUAGAUACCCUUGUAGUC
This 440-nucleotide ribosomal RNA is filed under the name uncultured bacterium. Its description in RNAcentral is "partial 16S ribosomal RNA". It matches the Rfam family "Bacterial small subunit ribosomal RNA", at positions 338 to 795 of the family's 1533-position model. The record is from RNAcentral.